RNAcentral lists this ribosomal RNA (433 nucleotides) under uncultured bacterium. RNAcentral describes it as "partial 16S ribosomal RNA". It matches the Rfam family "Bacterial small subunit ribosomal RNA", at positions 29 to 507 of the family's 1533-position model. The record is from RNAcentral.
AACGAACGCUGGCGGCAUGCCUAACACAUGCAAGUCGAACGAGACCUUCGGGUCUAGUGGCGCACGGGUGCGUAACGCGUGGGAACCUGCCCUUAGGUUCGGAAUAACUCCCCGAAAGGGGUGCUAAUACCGGAUAAUGUCUUCGGACCAAAGAUUUAUCGCCUUUGGAUGGGCCCGCGUUGGAUUAGCUAGUUGGUAGGGUAAAAGCCUACCAAGGCGACGAUCCAUAGCUGGUCUGAGAGGAUGCUCAGCCACACUGGGACUGAGACACGGCCCAGACUCCUACGGGAGGCAGCAGUGGGGAAUAUUGGACAAUGGGCGCAAGCCUGAUCCAGCAAUGCCGCGUGAGUGAUGAAGGCCUUAGGGUUGUAAAGCUCUUUUACCCGGGAUGAUAAUGACAGUACCGGGAGAAUAAGCUCCGGCUAACUCCGUG